RNAcentral lists this small RNA (648 nucleotides) under uncultured fungus. Its description in RNAcentral is "eukaryotic LSU rRNA". The stretch from base 213 to 367 matches the Rfam family "5.8S ribosomal RNA". The record is from RNAcentral. Lineage: Eukaryota; Fungi.
GGAAGGAUCAUUACUGAAUUGUCAAACGGGCUGUUGCUGGUCCUCGAAUGGGGACAUGUGCACGCUCUGUUUACACAUCCACUCACACCUGUGCACCCUCUGUAGUUUUACGGUCUGGGGGACCCUGUCUUCCUUCCGUAGUUCUACGUCUUUACACACACACUGUAAUAAAGUCUUAUGGAAUGUAUGCCGCGUCUAACGCAACACAAUACAACUUUCAGCAACGGAUCUCUUGGCUCUCGCAUCGAUGAAGAACGCAGCGAAAUGCGAUAAGUAAUGUGAAUUGCAGAAUUCAGUGAAUCAUCGAAUCUUUGAACGCACCUUGCGCCCCUUGGAUAUUCCGAGGGGCAUGCCUGUUUGAGUAUCAUGAACACCUCAACUCUCAUGGUUUGCCAUGACGAGCUUGGACCUUGGGGGUUUUGCUGGCCUGUGGUCGGCUCCUCUCAAAUGAAUCAGCCUCCCAGUGUUUGGUGGCAUCACGAGUGUGAUAACUAUCUACGCUCGCGGUUGCCCACCAGGUAACCUUUGGUGACAAAGGUUCGCUGGAGCUCACAGAUGUCUCUCCUUAGCGAGGACAGCUUUUUAACGUUCGAUCUCAAAUCAGGUAGGACUACCCGCUGAACUUAAGCAUAUCAAUAAGCGGAGGAA